GGAGAGAAGGAACUGCCUGCCUUUCUCCAAACACCCCAGAGCCUCUCCCCCCUCCCCAGACUGGCAAAUCCACCCUGCCUUCAGGGGUCAGUGAGGGCAUUGUCUGCAGCCCCACCUGAGAGAGAACUACCACCCUCAAUGGUUACCCUGACCUAGUCUGAGGGGCAGGGGGAAAGGCUGAGGCAGGGCAAAGGGAGUGUGGAGGAAAGAGAGACCAGAGAGUGUCUCUUACACAUCCUAUGUGAGUGCCUGGAGCCAGGCAGUCACCUCCACUCUGAGGACGAGAUCCCAGCACACUGUUCCACACUGGUCUGAGGCCAAGAGACAGAGACAAAGAAGAGAGUGAGGCAGGCGUUUCUCACUCAGUGUGUCUCUCUUCAAUUCCAAAUAUGUCCUUCCUGUGGAUGUGUGUGAGUGUGCAGCAUGAAGAGAAUCAGAUACCACAAU
Non-coding RNA from Phascolarctos cinereus (koala), 447 nucleotides. Lineage: Eukaryota; Metazoa; Chordata; Mammalia; Diprotodontia; Phascolarctidae. The record is from RefSeq and is a predicted model, not a curated record.